RNAcentral lists this small RNA (456 nucleotides) under Pan troglodytes (chimpanzee). RNAcentral's name for it is "processed transcript". The record is from RNAcentral. Lineage: Eukaryota; Metazoa; Chordata; Mammalia; Primates; Hominidae.
UAAUCAGAAGUUUUAAAGGCCACGUGAGGAAGAUGCUGCGGCAUGCGGAAGCAUCAGCCAUCGUGGAGUAUGCAUACAAUGAUAAAGCCAUUUUGGAGCAGAGGAACAUGCUGACGGAAGAGCUCUAUGGGAACACGUUUCAGCUUUACAAGUCAGCAGAUCACCCAACUCUGGACAAAGUGUUAGAGGUACAGCCAGAAAAAUUAGAGCUUAUUAUGGAUGAAAUGAAACAGAUUCUAACUCCAAUGGCCCAAAAGUAAGAAAGUUGUUUUUGUUUUGUUCUUAAGAAAUGACAUUCAAAGGAGGAAGGUUUUCCAUAACUGUUGCCCAGAAGAGGUAGCUAUUUCCUGCUUACAAGUAUUAAUCUGUCCUAAAUAAGAGUGCAAAAGUGUUGGUUUGAAACCAUUCUUGGUGCAAAAGGAGAUUUCUUUUUCUGAUAUUGUACCCUAUAAAAUG